UGGGGAAUAUUGCACAAUGGGCGCAAGCCUGAUGCAGCCAUGCCGCGUGUAUGAAGAAGGCCUUCGGGUUGUAAAGUACUUUCAGCGGGGAGGAAGGAGUUGUGGUUAAUAACCUCAGCAAUUGACGUUACCCGCAGAAGAAGCACCGGCUAACUCCGUGCCAGCAGCCGCGGUAAUACGGAGGGUGCAAGCGUUAAUCGGAAUUACUGGGCGUAAAGCGCACGCAGGCGGUCUGUCAAGUCGGAUGUGAAAUCCCCGGGCUCAACCUGGGAACUGCAUCCGAAACUGGCAGGCUUGAGUCUUGUAGAGGGGGGUAGAAUUCCAGGUGUAGCGGUGAAAUGCGUAGAGAUCUGGAGGAAUACCGGUGGCGAAGGCGGCCCCCUGGACAAAGACUGACGCUCAGGUGCGAAAGCGUGGGGAGCAAACA
RNAcentral lists this ribosomal RNA (427 nucleotides) under uncultured bacterium. RNAcentral describes it as "partial 16S ribosomal RNA". It matches the Rfam family "Bacterial small subunit ribosomal RNA", at positions 355 to 774 of the family's 1533-position model. The record is from RNAcentral.